RNAcentral lists this ribosomal RNA (253 nucleotides) under uncultured prokaryote. Its description in RNAcentral is "partial 16S ribosomal RNA". It matches the Rfam family "Bacterial small subunit ribosomal RNA", at positions 524 to 776 of the family's 1533-position model. The record is from RNAcentral.
UACGGGGGGGGCAAGCGUUGUUCGGAAUUACUGGGCGUAAAGGGCGCGUAGGCGGUUUGCUAAGUUGGAUGUGAAAACUCUGGGCUUAACCCAGAGCCUGCAUCCAAAACUGGCUAACUUGAGUACUGGAGGGGAAAGCGGAAUUCCUGGUGUAGCGGUGAAAUGCGUAGAUAUCGGGAGGAACACCUGCGGUGUAGACGGCUUACUGGACCAUAACUGACGCUGAGGCACGAAAGCGUGGGUAGCAAACAGG